This 101-nucleotide non-coding RNA is filed under the name uncultured Streptococcus sp. Its description in RNAcentral is "Glycine riboswitch". It matches the Rfam family "Glycine riboswitch aptamer", at positions 8 to 87 of the family's 94-position model. From Rfam's summary of the family: This family represents the bacterial glycine riboswitch. Glycine riboswitches usually consist of two metabolite-binding aptamers domains with similar structures in tandem. The record is from RNAcentral. Lineage: Bacteria; Bacillati; Bacillota; Bacilli; Lactobacillales; Streptococcaceae.
ACGGACUUCUGGAGAGACCGAAACGUUUUUCAACGCAUUAGGCGCCGAAGGGGCAAGAGGAGUAUGACUCCCCCAAUCUCUCAGGCAAAAGGACAGAAGCU